UUCUAGCUAAAUUCUAUAUAUAUAUAUAGAAUUUAGCUAGAAUUUACACCUACCACUACCUACCACCAUCAUCCCAACCUUACAUUUGUCCAUCCAAGGAUUAAAAACUCAAAAGCACCAACCUUUUGGUGCUUUUGAGAGUAUUCUAGCUCAACUCUCUCUCUCUAUAUAUAUAGAGUCCGGCUACUAUACUCUUAUGAGUACGAUCGCCUUCAUAUUCAUAAGUUAUUUUCGAUGAUAGAGCUUCCAAAUCGACGAUCCAUACCGUUAAACAUUAUCUAGAGUAUUUAAAACCUCUAGAAAUCAAAUUUUAUAAUUUUUCGAUAUCAUUUACCUUACGAUCAAAAGCUCACAAAAUUGUCAAUUUUUAACGGCCGAUAUGAGAUAUUUGCUAGUUUAACGGUGAAAAAGAAUUGGAAUAGGUUGAAUUUUUGAUAGAAAAUUCUAUUCAUUACCUAAAUAAAGAUCAAUAACUCCGAUCUUAAAUUGAAGGAUCCGAUCAUCCAUUUUUAAGAUGUCGUUCGAUUUUAACUGUUCAUUUUAUACCAGCUUGAUGGACUUUAUAAUGAUUUCGAAAAAUUACGAAAUUUAUUUUCUAGAAGUUUCAAAUACUCUAGAUCAUUUUUAACGGUAUGGAUCGUCGAUUCGAAAAGCCCUAAAUCGAAAACAACUUAUGAGUACGAAGGGCUCUACACUCACAA
RNAcentral lists this long non-coding RNA (701 nucleotides) under Ananas comosus (pineapple). RNAcentral's name for it is "long non-coding RNA (ACOM_LNC022562)". The record is from RNAcentral. Lineage: Eukaryota; Viridiplantae; Streptophyta; Magnoliopsida; Poales; Bromeliaceae.